Molecule: ribosomal RNA, 323 nt
Filed under: uncultured Pseudomonas sp.
Lineage: Bacteria; Pseudomonadati; Pseudomonadota; Gammaproteobacteria; Pseudomonadales; Pseudomonadaceae
Description: bacterial SSU rRNA
Rfam family: Bacterial small subunit ribosomal RNA
Source: RNAcentral
GUGUCGUGAGAUCGUUGGGUUAAGUCCCGUAACGAGCGCAACCCUUGUCCUUAGUUACCAGCACGUUAUGGUGGGCACUCUAAGGAGACUGCCGGUGGACAACCGGAGGAAGGUGGGGAUGACGUCAAGUCAUCAUGGCCCUUACGGCCUGGGCUACACACGUGCUACAAUGGUCGGUACAAAGGGUUGCCAAGCCGCGAGGUGGAGACUAAUCCCAUAAAACCGAUCGUAGUCCGGAUCGCAGUCUGCAACUCGACUGCGUGAAGUCGGAAUCGCUAGUAAUCGUGAAUCAGAAUGUCACGGUGAAUACGUUCCCGGGCCUU